UAUGAAAGUGGUCUAUAGGCAGAUGUAAUUGUGAGGGUUGCCCUCUCUGAUUGAUAAGCAUCCUAUAAAUACUCCUUGUCACUACAUGCUUUAGAAACUGUAGUUAAGUGCUGGCAGUAAAAUGCCAAAUGCUAGACUCCUUUAGACAAAUAUUUAGUACCUACAUGUAUCUAUCAAUAAAGAAAGAAACUAGAAUGACAGGGAUUGAUGUGAUCGAGUUAUUUGAUGAUGAAAAUAAGAGUAUAUUGCCUACCUGUAAAUCUUUUCAAUUCCUUUUUCUUUAAUUUUCAAUGCUGCAUGUGGACAUUGUAGUACAGUACUACUUACAUGAAUUAUUAGUUCAUGUCACUUUAAAAGACAACUUUUAUACAUUGUAUUUCAAACUAGUGGUACAGUUUUUCUCAAUUGUUUAAAUUUGAAAUUUAGUUGGGAUUAAUUGCUGUUAGUACAUGUUGGCAUUUCAGUGGGUGAAGAAAGGCAAUUAAGCUCAAAGAAAGGAAAACAGAAGAAAUGUGCUUCAUGUGGUGGAUUUAAUGCAAAUGCAAGUAAGGGGUGCAAAGGAUGUGGUGCUGAAAUCAAAAU
Stylophora pistillata is the source of this 582-nucleotide long non-coding RNA. The record is from RefSeq and is a predicted model, not a curated record. NCBI's taxonomy places the organism in Eukaryota, Metazoa, Cnidaria, Anthozoa, Scleractinia, Pocilloporidae.